This 766-nucleotide long non-coding RNA is filed under the name Pan troglodytes (chimpanzee). RNAcentral's name for it is "long non-coding RNA NONPTRT010954". The record is from RNAcentral. Lineage: Eukaryota; Metazoa; Chordata; Mammalia; Primates; Hominidae.
GAAGCCUGUAGUGCAGAGUCCUGCUCCUGCCGAGAGCUGGCCACACUCUCAGGCACCUUCCAUUUUCAGCCCUGCAAAACCGGCUGAUAUGGCAGCUGUGGGGCUGUUACUGAAUCACAGGGGCUAGAACAGGGAGAGGCCUGAGAGACUGACUGGCCAGCCUUCUGGUUUUAAAGAUGAGGAGGAAGGGGCUUGAUAAAGAUUGGGCAACUGGAGAACCGCCCCAGGUGUGGUUUCCCAGCCCUCCACUCCGCACCCCACUCACCACCUCACUCCACACAUCUCCUCAUUCCACGCAUCUCCUCACUCCACACAUCUCCUCACUCCACACAUCUCACUCCACACAUCUCACUCCACACAUCUCCUCAUUCCACACAUCUCACUCCACACAUCACCUCACUCCACGCAUCUCACUCCACACAUCUCACUCCACACAUCUCCUCAUUCCACACAUCUCACUCCACACAUCACCUCACUCCACGCAUCUCACUCCACACAUCUCCUCACUCCACACAUCUCACUCCACACAUCUCCUCACUCCACACAUCUCACUCCACACAUCUCCUCACUCCACACAUCUCCUCACUCCACACAUCUCACUCCACACAUCUCCUCACUCCACACAUCUCCUCACUCCACACAUCUGACUCCACACAUCUCACUCCACGCAUCUCCUCACUCCACGCAUCUCACUCCACACAUCAUACUCCACACAUCUCACUCCACACAUCUCCUCAUUCCACACAUCUCACUCCACACAUCUCCU